Bombus huntii is the source of this 5179-nucleotide long non-coding RNA. RefSeq lists it as uncharacterized. Lineage: Eukaryota; Metazoa; Arthropoda; Insecta; Hymenoptera; Apidae. The record is from RefSeq and is a predicted model, not a curated record. The transcript has 8 exons.
CUAUGUGUACUCUUGCGCGCGCGUACACGAGUAAGUAAAAGAGCGGAAUGCACGCUGGCUAUUGGCAUCGUGCGUAUUGCGUAAACAGUGGGUCUUAAUAGACGCCUGUGCACGAGCAUCUUGCUAUGAUAAAACGGGCAUGCAUUCGCAUUGCGUCAUGUGAAAAGUAACAACUGCUGGACGGCCUUGGGUACAGCACAUUGUGAUAAUGCACUUAUUGAAAAUAAAGGAGUUAGAUAUACAAGCUUUGACAGUUGAAGAAUAUUUCUCCUGAAAGCUAACGAGGAAAUCGAGUGACAUAUGCGCCACUUUCCUGGUAAGAUAAAUAUGGAAGAAUGUUUAAUCUACGUGGCGUUAUUUUUACAGAUUGAAGUAUCCGCAGGCUUAUUGGAGUGCAGAGCACAUCGAUAAUAUCGACAAAAGUGUCAUGGAUACUAAUAACCUAACCUAGACAAACUUGUCUAGCUAUCUAACAUCGAAAAUCGAUCUCGUUGUAUCAGGUUAUAGAUACAAUUAUAUUUGACACCUAUUAUUUACUUAAAGGAGGCUAUGGAUUUGUAGGAAAGUACAAAGAUCUAUAGAAUGCGCCUAAUAAGCAACAACAUAUGAAAUAUCCAAAGAAUUGUGCUCGUUAUAAUUAGACUCUGGAUGUUUAUGCAAAGAAUGCAUAUAAUAUAAAGAAAUAUAUGAAAUAUUAAAAACAUAGCACUUGUUAUAAUAUUGAGCAUGUGAAACGAAUUUCUACAUAGGUUCCAUUUUCCUACUUGUGCUGAUAAAAAUAUAAAUUUGCACAAGCAUUCGCAGUCCAAUUAUAAACAUAUAUAGGAUCUUAGUCGCAUUCAUAACAAUAUGGGUUUGCGCAAACAUCCACGGUUUACUAAUCGUUAUUAUAAAAUAGGUUUAAUAAUCACGUAGAUAGUGCACCGUAUACAACGUUCGUUUAUUUGAAUUGUAAUCAUACAAGUGCAUAACAAAUAUAUUGUGCUACCAGGUUGAUCUUGUAGAAUGAAGUUGUAUCGGUGUUUCAACAUCGACUUAUGACUUCAUUGAUUCCUCCGAUACGUUCGACGGAACGUUAUGAACGACGAUCCCGAAGAAACGCUCGUGGGCCAACAAACAGCUCGACUACGUUAUUAUACUUAAUCGCGGUGUGCGCCCGAAGCGCGACGUUCUCGCGAUUGCUGGAAUGCCGUCCGAUCACUUGUACCGGGUCUAUCAAGGCCGUUGGGAAAUGAAAAUCGUUUCUUUCUGGUCGACUUAUGGAAUCCAAAACAUGUGGGACAUUAAGAAUUUACGUGGACAGGAGAAAAGGCAUCGAUGAGGGUGAUCCAUAAUUCAUGGGCAGAGAGAUUCUAUGACUUAAAAUAAGAGGAAAAUCAAGAAUAACACAAUUACGCUGGUUUUGUUUCUGAGAAAAUCGAUGACUUCAUUUGUACCAUGAAUACAAUACCUGAAGCAGAGUGACUAUCCUGUAUAUGGUUGAAAAAUAGUUGGGACAAUGGUGUGAAAAAUACCGUAAGUGGGAGGAACUAGGACAAAGGUACAGACUUUGAGUGAUUAAAUUUAUGGUUUUGAUAAUUCGUCGUAGUGAAUUACCGUUUAUAUAAAUAUAGAAAUGAAUGUCGCUGUUGAUGGCAUGCUGAUGAUAUCAUUGCAGAUUGUCUCAACAAGCUAGCAAUACUUUUUAGUACUUAUACUUUAUACUGUUUACAGUAUACUACUCCAACAAUACUCUUUGGUAUUUUUCUUAUUAAUACUUACUAUGAUUAUUUCCAUAUUUCCCAUUCCAUUUCAUUUCAGAGGAAGUUACCAAAUGAGAAUUUCGAUAUAAAGGAUAAAAUAUCACGACUGUCUUUGCUAAUGCGAAGGUCUUUAAAGGAGAGAUUAAGUAAAAGAGCUAAAUGGUACCAGAAGACGAUUUACCUUCAUGACCACUCUCAUUUACAUACGGAAGUAAUCUAUUUCUCUAAGCGCGAGCACCGAACCAUUACGUUCCAUUUAAUUAACAAUGUGGCAGACAAGCUUCCACCUCGAAGCGCCUCGUAGAUCGAUGUUAACCACACGUUAGAAUCAAUCAUCGCGCGUUCACCGGUGAAACGAUUAGCUUACGAUGAGUAAACAAAUGUUUGAACGAUGCGCAUUACACGGCAGAGCAAAUACGCUGCUUCCUGUCGCGUAAUUUGUAGUCGUGACGCUCGCUUCGUAUAUGUAACGAUCGACGCGAUCACUCGAUAAUAACAGAUUCAAGAAUAUUUGCAUAAUACCUACCGGUAUACACAGUAUACGUUAACCACUUCGUUGUACCUUCUAUCAAUUUUGCCAUCUAAUAUAUUAUGAGAACGUCGUCGCUACAAACUGGUGCGAAUGUUCUACAGGAUAGAUCAGUUUGAUAGAAGAGUAACUAUUGUAGAUGAUGUACCAUUAUCAGUCAUGAUCUACGAUCAAAACUUGCAUGAUACUUAUUUAUCACAGAUUUGUGGCAAACUGAAGAAGAGGAAGGCUAAAUCUAAAGGUUUGAGUUCUCAAGAAAUCAAGAUAGCUGCGAUUCACUCUUUUAAAAGCUUUUUACAUUUUUCUACGUUAAACAUGGCCAACUCCAGCCACCGUUUCACGUCACGACGUUAGGAUACAGUUACCCUUGCUGGCGAUACAGAUCAUUUCACUUAACGCAUUUCAACCACUCCUCGAGCGUGCCGCAGCUAGCGAUGGGAUCUGAAACACUUCAAAUCGUAUCGCGUCUGUAUAUUCAAAUCACUUCAAACAUGAUUCGAGGCUUGAAAUUCUUGAUCGUGUAGAAGGUCUUGAAUCUUUAAAAUCUUGGCAGUCUUAGAAGUCUUGAUCAUCAUGGAAACCUGAAUCGUCUAGGAAGUGUUGAAAAUUGUGAUCAUUUUAAAAGCCUCGAUCGUAUUAGAAGUCCCGAUCAUCUUGUGAAAUAAAUGUAUGUAUGAUAAUUUGAUCUUUCCAGGCGUUUUAUAAACACUUGUUGCAGCCUGAAAAACUGAAUCUAACAGUUUCAAAACGAUCAAGACUUUCGAGACUUUAAAGACUCAAACUUAUCAAGAUUUACAAAAGAACUUUAAACUUCGAAUCAUGUUCGAAGCGAUCCGAAUUUGUCGCCUCAUACACAAUACAAAUUCGAAGCGAUUCGAAGUGUUUCCAAGUCCCAUCACUAGCCGCAAUUCGUGCCUAAUAACUAGGCGAACACGACAACAAAUUGAAGGAGCCAACAUCCAAACGCACAGCAUGAUUUUUCGACGACUAUUAUCUUCGUGCCUGUAUUUCGCUACAAUUUCAUCGACACGUCCGUUAACCCAGGUACACACAUUGACUGUCGAAUUUCCAACCAGCCAAAUUGCAUACGAUCACGUUAUAAGCGUCCAGAGUAUCAGCGUAUGGUGUAUGAAUAAUGAAUGAGCCUCGGACUGCAUAGUAAGACUGAGAAUACGGUCUUAUACGGUACUGUUACAUCCAGCGAAAAGGUGGGGUUGCACAGUUAAAACUCGUGCAACGAGACAGCCGGCCAAUAAGCAGGCAUAAAGACGACGGCGUUAAAUAACCGGUACUCGUCCUAUCGGCCGAUUGCUUUUUGUUGUACGCCAUGGCACGUCAGCUCGAGGCUCGAGCACCACUCUGUCGACCAGUGAAACGGCUAAUGUUCUUGUUUUUUUUUUCUUGCCUUCUUUCUGUUUUCAUUCUUCUUCUCCUUCGCGUUCUUCUUCUUCUCCUUGUUCCUUUUUGCCUGAUUCUUUUAUUCUUUGCCGAGUUCGAUCGAAUCGAGAAAGAUCGAAAGGACGCGUUCGAUGAAAACAAUUUUUUAACAAAGGACUCGAUCGUGUCGCGUUCGUCUUAUGCAGCAUAAACGUGAAAUAUAUUUAGGGAAUCGUAAGAAAAGUCAGCUUUCUGUAUAAGAAGAAAAUAGAGUUACCAGUCAUUAAGGAGAAUGUACUACAUACCUGCCUCACCAAGUAGCUACAUAUUCUGAGAUAACACAAGCAAUUUGUAUCACACUGAAGCUAAGAAUUUUUGGUGCCAUCUUGUAACCAAAUGACGAAGAACAUACACAUUACCAACUUCAAUAGUCUAUAGAAUUAUUUAAUUUAAUCCGAACAGAUGCAUUUAUUAAUCUAUACACAGCAUAAAAUAGAGUUCCCGGUAAGUGCCUGUAUGUUCAGGGCUAAUUUCAAGGACGAUUUGAAAAAUUUCGAUGCGGUGUUCUCGAGGAAGAUUUAGAUGUAUGAAACGUUAACCUACGACAAAAGGGAGCACGCAUAGAACAUUAAGAAUAUGAAUCAGAGACAGUACACGAAUAUUCGCAACAAAACAGCGAUCUUCUUCAAUGCGAGCAUGUUUAGAAUCAUGUUUAGUAUCGCUGCCACAAUAUAGCGAGACGAUAUGAUCCCCCCUUCGAGCAAUGUCUUUCUCUUCUUGGUGCGCGGCAUGUCAGAAGCUUCACGACUUCGUUGUGUGACAACGGGUGUUGUUUCACGGACUGCGGAACACUUACCGAGCCAAUAAAGAUUCACGAGAUUAUGUCAGCCAUAUUAUUAAAAAAGAUUAUAUACGCAUAAUACAUAUUAUAGUAUAUCAUAAUUAGAAAUAUUCAACUUGCAAAUAGGAGAACAUUUAUUACAAUUCUAUUCGCACUGAAAUUUUUUCAUCGGCGUAUACAGCUAACACAACGUCAUUUAAAAGGACAUAAACGCCUCCACGGAGUGCGUUUAACCCAAGUCAAUAAAUUCAUGCUCAAGAUCGAUAUCGUGUGCAUUUAACAUCUCCCAUAAACUAUCUUACACGGUGAACUAGUUCCGUUGGCCAGGUUGCCUCGGAUAUACGUAAAGUCGACGUCCUUAAAUGCAUCAUGCGUCUCGUAAUACUCAUCCGAUUAUCCGUUCAUUCAUUUCGCUUAAUUGCCCACACCGUUAUCAGGCGGGCUUUAAGCUGAACGUCUGAGGAACGCUGUAUCCUCGGUUGUUUUAUAAAAAGACAAGUUUAUUCAUAUACGGAUCACGUUAUGAUAAUGUGCGAUUAAAUUCAUAUAUAGGUAACUAUGCUUGCAGAGGCAAGUGAGACUAGUUAUGGAAUGUAUGAGAGAGGAUGUUGAAUCACAGGCUAAAGCUAUAAUUACGUACAAGGAUUAUGGAGAAAAUAGUAAAAAGAAUAAAUUAUAGUAAAUACACCA